RNAcentral lists this ribosomal RNA (253 nucleotides) under uncultured bacterium. RNAcentral's name for it is "partial 16S ribosomal RNA". It matches the Rfam family "Bacterial small subunit ribosomal RNA", at positions 524 to 776 of the family's 1533-position model. The record is from RNAcentral.
UACGUAGGUGGCAAGCGUUGUCCGGAUUUAUUGGGUUUAAAGGGUGCGUAGGCGGUCUAUUAAGUCAGUGGUGAAAUACUCCAGCUUAACUGGAGGGGUGCCAUUGAUACUGAUGGACUUGAGUGAAGUCGAGGUAGGCGGAAUUGACGGUGUAGCGGUGAAAUGCUUAGAUAUGACAUAGAACACCAAUUGCGAAGGCAGCUGGCUACACAAAUAUUGACACUGAGGCACGAAAGCGUGGGGAUCAAACAGG